AUACGGAGGGGGUUAGCGUUGUUCGGAAUUACGGGGCGUAAAGCGCACGUAGGCGGACUGGAAAGUUGGGGGUGAAAUCCCGGGGCUCAACCUCGGAACUGCCUCCAAAACUUCCAAUCUAGAGAUCGAGAGAGGUGAGUGGAAUUCCAAGUGUAGAGGUGAAAUUCGUAGAUAUUUGGAGGAACACCAGUGGCGAAGGCGGCUCACUGGCUCGAUACUGACGCUGAGGUGCGAAAGCGUGGGGAGCAAACAGGAUUAGAAACCCUAGUAGUCC
This 274-nucleotide ribosomal RNA is filed under the name uncultured bacterium. RNAcentral describes it as "partial 16S ribosomal RNA". It matches the Rfam family "Bacterial small subunit ribosomal RNA", at positions 523 to 796 of the family's 1533-position model. The record is from RNAcentral.